CAAGCAUUCUCAAAUCUUGUUCGCUCUCAGAGAAGAGAACAGUGUCAUCAGCAUACAACAGAUAGCAUAAACUCUUAACACCCACUUUCAAUCUUAAUUCAGUCACAGCAGUUUCCUUCACAUGUGCAUCCAUGUUCACACAUUAAACAGCCACAGAGACACCACACUCUCUUGUCUCAUUCCUUCCUUAAUUAUAAACCAUUUUGAAAUGCCUUAUCUCACACUCUAUUAUCAUACAUUACUCUCAUUGCCCCAAGCAGCUGUUCAUUCACAUCGUAUUUCCUCAACACUUUCUACGGGUUACUUCUGUUCACUCUGUCACAUGCCUUCUCAAGAUCUACAAAAGAUCUUCACAUGGAGACACUUCUCCAUAUUCAUAUACAUUGAGAAAAUCUAAUCUCCACUUCUUGUAUUCUUUCAUCAGUCAUUCUCGUCAUUCUCAAUUACAGUAUUAUCAAAUUAC
Molecule: long non-coding RNA, 463 nt
Filed under: Androctonus crassicauda
Lineage: Eukaryota; Metazoa; Arthropoda; Arachnida; Scorpiones; Buthidae
Source: RNAcentral